This 466-nucleotide ribosomal RNA is filed under the name uncultured bacterium. Its description in RNAcentral is "partial 16S ribosomal RNA". It matches the Rfam family "Bacterial small subunit ribosomal RNA", at positions 339 to 795 of the family's 1533-position model. The record is from RNAcentral.
CUACGGGUUGCAGCAGUGGGGAAUAUUGGACAAUGGGGGAAACCCUGAUCCAGCAAUGCCGCGUGUGUGAAGAAGGCCUGCGGGUUGUAAAGCACUUUCGGUUGGGAGGACUGCUUCUAGCACUAAUAUUGUUGGAAGUUGACGUUACCUUCAGAAGAAGCACCGGCUAACUCCGUGCCAGCAGCCGCGGUAAUACGGGAGGGUGCAAGCGUUAAUCGGAAUUACUGGGCGUAAAGCGCGCGUAGGCGGCUAGAUCAGUCGGGUGUGAAAGCCCCGGGCUUAACCUGGGAACUGCAUCCGAUACUGGCUAGCUUGAGUACAGGAGAGGAGAGUGGAAUUCCAUAUGUAGCGGUGAAAUGCGUAGAUAUGUGGAGGAACACCAAUGGCGAAGGCAGCUCUCUGGCCUGAUACUGACGCUGAGGUGCGAAAGCGUGGGGAGCAAACAGGAUUAGAUACCCCAGUAGUC